Cyprinus carpio (common carp) is the source of this 263-nucleotide long non-coding RNA. RefSeq lists it as uncharacterized. The record is from RefSeq and is a predicted model, not a curated record. NCBI's taxonomy places the organism in Eukaryota, Metazoa, Chordata, Actinopteri, Cypriniformes, Cyprinidae. The transcript is spliced from 3 exons.
GUAGAGAACAUCUUGCUCUGCAUGACAGAGGACAUUAUGUGUUGUGUGAUUUUUGGCAGUGCCAUUAACCGCUCCCAGAAUCCACAAACAGAAGGUGUGGCGGCUGUAGAAGAAGAAAUCAAGAAGUACACUACGCUUUCAUACCGGGCCCCAGAAAUGGUGAAUCUAUAUGGGGGCAAAGUUAUCACUACUAAAGCUGAUAUAUGGGCUUUGGGCUGCUUGUUGUACACAUGUUGUGUUAUUUCACAACUGCCGUUUGGAGA